AUGAACGCUGGCGGCGUGCCUAAUCCAUGCCAGUCGAGCGAACAGAUAAGGAGCUUGCUCCUUUGACGUUAGCGGCGGACGGGUGAGUAACACGUGGAUAACCUACCUAUAAGACUGGGAUAACUUCGGGAAACCGGAGCUAAUACCGGAUAACAUAUUGAACCGCAUGGUUCAAUAGUGAAAGGCGGCUUUGCUGUCACUUAUAGAUGGAUCCGCGCCGUAUUAGCUAGUUGGUAAGGUAACGGCUUACCAAGGCAACGAUACGUAGCCGACCUGAGAGGGUGAUCGGCAACACUGGAACUGAGACACGGUCCAGACUCCUACGGGAGGCAGCAGUAGGGAAUCUUCCGCAAUGGGCGAAAGCCUGACGGAGCAACGCCGCGUGAGUGAUGAAGGUCUUCGGAUCGUAAAACUCUGUUAUCAGGGAAGAACAAAUGUGUAAGUAACUGUGCACAUCUUGACGGUACCUGAUCAGAAAGCCACGGCUAACUACGUG
RNAcentral lists this ribosomal RNA (496 nucleotides) under uncultured bacterium. Its description in RNAcentral is "partial 16S ribosomal RNA". It matches the Rfam family "Bacterial small subunit ribosomal RNA", at positions 29 to 507 of the family's 1533-position model. The record is from RNAcentral.